Molecule: ribosomal RNA, 505 nt
Filed under: uncultured bacterium
Lineage: Bacteria
Description: partial 16S ribosomal RNA
Rfam family: Bacterial small subunit ribosomal RNA
Source: RNAcentral
GACGAACGCUGGCGGCGUGCCUAAUACAUGCAGGUAGAACGCACAGUUUAUACCGUAGCUUGCUACACCAUAGACUGUGAGUUGCGAACGGGUGAGUAACGCGUAGGUAACCUGCCUGGUAGCGGGGGAUAACUAUUGGAAACGAUAGCUAAUACCGCAUAAUAUUGAUUAUUGCAUGAUAAUUGAUUGAAAGAUGCUAUUGCAUCACUACCAGAUGGACCUGCGUUGUAUUAGCUAGUAGGUGAGGUAACGGCUCACCUAGGCGACGAUACAUAGCCGACCUGAGAGGGUGAUCGGCCACACUGGGACUGAGACACGGCCCAGACUCCUACGGGAGGCAGCAGUAGGGAAUCUUCGGCAGUGGACGAAAGUCUGACCGAGCAACGCCGCGUGAGUGAAGAAGGUUUUCGGAUCGUAAAGCUCUGUUGUAAGAGAAGAACGGGUGUGAGAGUGGAAAGUUCACACUGUGACGGUAGCUUACCAGAAAGGGACGGCUAACUACGUG